Molecule: ribosomal RNA, 505 nt
Filed under: uncultured bacterium
Lineage: Bacteria
Description: partial 16S ribosomal RNA
Rfam family: Bacterial small subunit ribosomal RNA
Source: RNAcentral
GAUGAACGCUAGCGAUAGGCCUAACACAUGCAAGUCGAGGGGCAGCACGGGAGUAGCAAUACAACUGGUGGCGACCGGCGCACGGGUGAGUAACGCGUAUGUAAUCUACCUACAACAGGGGGAUAACCCGGAGAAAUCCGGACUAAUACCGCAUAAAACAGGGGUCCCGCCUGGGACUAUUUGUUAAAGAUUUAUCGGUUGUAGAUGAGCAUGCGUUCCAUUAGAUAGUUGGCAAGGUAACGGCUUACCAAGUCAGCGAUGGAUAGGGGAACGAGAAGGUUUGUCCCCCACACUGGAACUGAGACACGGACCAGACUCCUACGGGAGGCAGCAGUGAGGAAUAUUGGUCAAUGGGCGAGAGCCUGAACCAGCCAAAUCGCGUGAAGGAAGACUGCCUUAUGGGUUGUAAACUUCUUUUACAGGGGAAUAAAAAGACAUACGAGUAUGUCAUUGCAUGUACCCUGUGAAUAAGCAUCGGCUAACUCCGUGCCAGCAGCCGCCGUAA